GUCUUGCUGUGUUGCCCAGGCUAGCUCCUCCAAACUCCUGAACUUGAGUGAACACAGCCUCCUAUGCAAAUGUGCCUCUGAAUCCAGACUUACAACAGGCAUCUGUUAGAUGAAUUGUCUGAGAUCACACAGCUGAUAAAAGGAGGGUAGGUACAAGAAAGCAGACCUCCUGACCCAAGUUCAAGCUCAUUCUGUGCACAAAGGCACUCUCCUCCACCAGUGUUUCACAUUGAAAUCAAGAGUGAAGAUUACGCAUGCCACAGCUGAUAUGUAAGAAUCAACGUGCACGACUCUGUGUCCACAUCCUCAGGGCUGGCAGGAGAAGACUAAGAAUGAAAACUACAUACGAAAGACUGGAGACAGAGAUAAACCAUUUUCAAGAAUGUUCAUCUUGGAAUGGAUUAAACACGGGACGGUAGGUCUGUGAGACCCCUGCGGCAGCAGCAGCAGGAGCCGCGGCAGCAGGGGUGGUCCUGCAUGCAGGCUCUGCAGAAUGACCUUUCACCAUGACACUGCGGUCAAUGACUGCCACGUCAGCGGUGGUACUGGCUCACUCACUUCCCUGCAGCACCGUGCACCCGGUAAUGGCUCUUCCUCUCGUGAACCAGCUACCCAGAGACAAACUGCCAAGAAAACACUACCUGGGACUCAACAUCAAGCUUCCAGCCAGCUUGGAACAUUGCCCAACGCAUGCGGGCACCUGUAUUGCGUAGCAGAUCCAGCUGUGGGUUCCUCUGAAGCCAGGCUGCCUGUUGCAGCUGUAACCUGAAGCUGUCAGUAGUGAGACGUGUGCACACUCCUGGUGCAUGUGGCAGUGCUGUGGAUAGAAUGAAGGCUCACAUUUUGAAGUGGUAGGAGGGAGAAGUGAGGAAAUGGACUGCAGUGCUUCCUGUCAAUGACUUUCCCUCCACCACAGAGUGCAAUAGGGGCCAGAAUACACGUGUGCUGUCUCUUGGUCACCAGAGGCAGUGGGAGGUGAGAAUCCAGCUACAGAUGGCAUUGUAUUUGAAAGUAGAAGACCUGGUCCUGCCUCUUCCCACCUGUGACCUUGGGUGCUAUUUUGGGAUCAUCUGGAAUGAGCUUUGCUGCCUGAUUACCACAGUGGAAGUGUAAUGCUAUGGUGAUUAUGAGGUAUUAGGCUGAGUGGAAUAGUUAAUAAAUAACUGGUCUAGAAGACAGAGGCAAUGGAGGAGCCGAGAGACAAGGACGAUAUUUAUUAUUUACUAUGUGGACAGAGCAUUACACUCAAUUGCAUUGUGAUGUUCCAUGUUCUUCUGUAAGGUAGAAUCCCCAUCAGAGAUGAAAGAUUAGUAAAUGGAAUCUCUGAGAAGAAAAGCAUAUGAAGACUGCCAGCUAUGAAGACUAAAAUAAAUCCAUCAUCUUUCCCUGGUACCAUUCUGCUCCAAGCAAGAAAGAUUUUCUUUUAAAAAAAAUGGCUCCAAGGACUAGAAUUUCCUCCCAUUUCCCCCACAGCAUUGGAAACAGAGCUUAGUCAUGCAAUCAAUGGCGAUCGGGAGACUUUUAUGAAAGAAGAGACUCCAGAGGGAGGCUGGAUAUAAGGUAGCCAUCAGGGAGUCAUUUCAGUUUGGUGCUUUGGACCACUUUGACCAUCUUUCCAGACUAAUCUAAAAUCCUCCCUUCUUUGAUAAGCCUUAAUUGACCAUUUCAUCCUACCCUAUUCUGCUCUGAUUUAGAAGCAUUGUCUGUGUAAUGUAUGUAACAAUAACUCAUUUCUGCCCUUGUGAUAGCUAUUCUACAAUUGCCUUGAACUGAGAUUUCA
This is a non-coding RNA of Marmota flaviventris (yellow-bellied marmot), 1780 nucleotides long. NCBI's taxonomy places the organism in Eukaryota, Metazoa, Chordata, Mammalia, Rodentia, Sciuridae. The record is from RefSeq and is a predicted model, not a curated record.